AGCGAACGCUGGCGGCAGGCCUAACACAUGCAAGUCGAACGAACUCUUCGGAGUUAGUGGCGGACGGGUGAGUAACACGUGGGAACGUGCCUUUUGGUUCGGAAUAACUCAGGGAAACUUGUGCUAAUACCGAAUGUGCCCUUCGGGGGAAAGAUUUAUCGCCAUUAGAGCGGCCCGCGUCUGAUUAGCUAGUUGGUGAGGUAACAGCUCACCAAGGCGACGAUCAGUAGCUGGUCUGAGAGGAUGACCAGCCACACUGGGACUGAGACACGGCCCAGACUCCUACGGGAGGCAGCAGUGGGGAAUCUUGCGCAAUGGGCGAAAGCCUGACGCAGCCAUGCCGCGUGAAUGAUGAAGGUCCUAGGAUUGUAAAAUUCUUUCACCGGGGACGAUAAUGACGGUACCCGGAGAAGAAGCCCCGGCUAACUUCGU
This 432-nucleotide ribosomal RNA is filed under the name uncultured bacterium. RNAcentral describes it as "partial 16S ribosomal RNA". It matches the Rfam family "Bacterial small subunit ribosomal RNA", at positions 29 to 506 of the family's 1533-position model. The record is from RNAcentral.